UACAGAGGUGGCAAGUGUUGUUCGGAUUUACUGGGCGUAAAGGGUCCGCAGGCGGCUUUGUGUGUCAGAUGUGAAAGCCCACGGCUUAACCGUGGAAUGGCAUUUGAAACUACAGGGCUAGAGUACAGGAGAGGAUAGGGGAAUUCAUGGUGUAGCGGUGAAAUGCGUAGAUAUCAUGAAGAACACCGGUGGCGAAAGCGCCUAUCUGGACUGAUACUGACGCUCAUGGACGAAAGCCAGGGGAGCAAAGAGGAUUAGAUACCCUCGUAGUCCUGGCCAUAAACGGUGCGCACUUGAUGUGGGAGGUUUACCCCCUUCCGUGUCGAAGCUAACGCGAUAAGUGCGCCGCCUGGGAAGUACGGCCGCAAGGUUAAA
Molecule: ribosomal RNA, 375 nt
Filed under: uncultured bacterium
Lineage: Bacteria
Description: bacterial SSU rRNA
Rfam family: Bacterial small subunit ribosomal RNA
Source: RNAcentral